Molecule: long non-coding RNA, 461 nt
Filed under: Musa acuminata (dwarf banana)
Lineage: Eukaryota; Viridiplantae; Streptophyta; Magnoliopsida; Zingiberales; Musaceae
Description: long non-coding RNA (MACU_LNC004251)
Source: RNAcentral
AGUUGGUGGAGAUUCUUCUUCCUCGACUGUGCUGAUCUCAUCUGAGAACACCGAGUUCUGAGAGUUGAAAUAUAGUAUCAAGGUAAUGAGUUGUUUAUGGUGGGGAGAGUAGGUGGUGUCAUAGGUCCCACGCUUUAAUCAAAGGGAAUGAAUGCGACACACUGCUGCAAGACGACGGCGAAAGGACCAGAGAUACGUAGCUAUAUAUAAAGAUAGGAUUUUGAAGGAUCAUUGGUGUUGGUUAGUAGAAUCACACUUUCUUAUGAUCAAGUUGGACUGAGAACGAGUAAAGCUCGUGUACCAGUUUGCUCUUGUGGAGACGAUGUGUGCUUGUGGAUGACUGCAGCAUAUACCGCAUGCUCUUCAUCUUAGCAUUGUACUGAUGCAUUGACCUAAUCUCUCUUCCGGAACUUCUUGGACUAACUAAGACACGCGAGUUCCUCUGCAUCUUGUUGCUAAUC